GGUCGGUUUCUAUCUGUAAUUAAUUUCUCCCAGUACGAAAGGACAAGAGAAAUAAGGCCAACAUUUAUCAACGAGCCUUAGAAACAAGAUAUGAUAACAUCUUAAUAUCUUAAUUCAAUUUAUCCUACACUCUAGACAAGAGCU
This 144-nucleotide ribosomal RNA is filed under the name Acrobates pygmaeus. Its description in RNAcentral is "partial 16S ribosomal RNA". The record is from RNAcentral. Lineage: Eukaryota; Metazoa; Chordata; Mammalia; Diprotodontia; Acrobatidae.